Long non-coding RNA from Dromaius novaehollandiae (emu), 10380 nucleotides. RefSeq lists it as uncharacterized. The record is from RefSeq and is a predicted model, not a curated record. The transcript is spliced from 3 exons. Lineage: Eukaryota; Metazoa; Chordata; Aves; Casuariiformes; Dromaiidae.
GCCGUUGGGGCAGCCGCCCGGGAGCCGGCGCCGCUCUCGCUCCCCCCGCCCCCGGGGUGUGUUUAUCCUGCGCAGCUGCCGGCCGGGGAGGCGGCUGAGGCGCGGCGGCCCCGCGGCAGCGGCAGCGGCGGGCGGGACGGCGGGCUGCUCGUCCAGCGCGCCCGGGUCGCUGGGCUGCCGUUCGCCUCGCUACUUUAUUUCCUCUAUAAAAAGUCAGCUGCGGAUGUCGAAUCUCCUGUCGUUACCUACAGCAGGUCCCAUGAUUUGAGUUUUUUUUAUGAGGAAGCGCUGAGACAAUACACCGCAGCCCGCUUUUAUACGGCACGUUUUUAUAUUGCACCUGCAAUACGCGGGCUCACAUAAUUUCACAGAGAGCUGUAAACUAUACCGUAAAGGAAGGUUUUAAGAGCGGAGGAUUACCCCGAGGAAGUCAUUGCAAGAGGACACACACAAGGGUUUCAGCAGAGAUAAUGUCCAACCAGAGAUGUUCCGCUGGCAAGAGCAUGCUAUGCCAAACAUUGUGGCCCGCAUGGUUGUGAGCAACCAGCACAACAGCCGGCAGUACAGCAGCGAGAAUGGAAAGGGAAGGGCAGACAGAGAACAAGAUGGACAUCUCCUGCCAGGAGUUAGUGACCAGCAACACAUGGUGGAACAAAUGUUAAGUUAGUGGAUUGAAUGUCAAGGAGGAGGGACAGCAGAACAUUCAGAUGUAGUGUUCCUGGAGUUGUGUAGAAGUCCAUCAGCUUGCUAGUGUGCCAUAAUGAGAAAACUAACCUGUGGUAAUGCUGGAGUAAUUGGACUUCUUGAAGUAUAGAAUCAGUAUGUUGGGUACAGUCAGAAGCUGCCAUAACUCAAAAAGGCAAACAAAUAGGAAGUAGAGGGCACAAACUUGUAUGUCAUCCGGAGAAAAAGAGCCUAUAGUCAGACUGUCUCUGAGAGAGAAAAUCCAUAAAAAGAGGUCCAGGCUUAUUCUUAAAGUAGAAUAAAGAGUGCAGCUAAGAAAUAACUGUAAAUCUUGAUCCACUGUGAAUGGAAGAUACAAUAUUAAAGAAAUAGCAUUCAAUUUUCUCUUUUGAAAAUCAAAAAUGACAGGCUAAAAAACCCUGCUGAACUCAAGUAGGAUAAGGAGAGAGGGAUGUGUAUGAUCAGAGAAAUGACUAAGCUGUUAACCAACCAGAAAAGGACAUCCUUGACUCUGAGAAAGCAACAGAAAUCAGUUAAAGAUGGGAAAAGUCAAGUGACCCUGAGCCAGCAAAUGAAAACAGAAGACCGUCUUCUGUAGAACACUGCAGAGAAGGAGUAAGAGACUAUUCAUAUAAGUUAAUAUUAGUUUUGAUUUUUAAGAGUACACAAAUGUUCAGCAGGACAUAGGCCCUCCAAAAGCAUGUGGAACUUGAUAUGCAAUGGGAUGUUCAUCUUCGUGAAACAACUAUUCCACCAGGCAUAAUUUUGUUUCAACAGAGCAGUAAUCAAAACCAGCUCCAGACUAUUAAGCAGGAGAUCGUGGUACAAGGUGAAACACCAAGAGAGAGGUGAAAGGUUUUACAGAUAUGCUGGUGAUCUGAUGAUCCAUGGUAAAAUGGAACAACUGGUGAACAUUACUCCCCUAUUAAUAAUGUCACAAUUGAAACAAAAUUUAAUCUCCUUAGCCUGAAUUAUUUAGAUCUGUUUAUCAUGUUUUAAGGCUCCAGUCACCUUGAUAUCUCAGCACAACUUAUUCGCUUAUUCUUAAGGGCCAUAUGCUCAUAUAUCUCUUUAGAAAGCAUUGGCACAAAUUUUCUGAAAUAAGUUUAUUCUGUUUUUUAUCCCCUUUUCCCAAAUCCACUUAAUGUAUCUGCUAACACAGAGGACCUUUUGUGUUUGCUUCUGCUGUAGUAGAUUGUUAUUUCUUCCUAUUUUGCUAAAGGUUUAGAAAUCACUUGAGAAAUCUAGGUAAUGUAUUUAUUUUGAGGUAGAUUUAUCAUCAGAGCAGGUAAUGGAAGGUCUCCACUUCAGUGGGCUUUGGAUCAGGUGUUUAGUGAUAACACCAUUUCAGUUCUUCUAAUCUAGUUGUUUGGGAUCCAGCAUGCAGCCCCUGAAACUGCAGAGAGUUUCACCAUAGGCUUUAAUGAGAGCAGAAAAAGCCCCUACUUAUCAAGAGAGGCUAUUUCAAUCCAGAAGAAGUAAGCACAAGACUUCCUUGAACAACUGAGUUUAAAUUUGUUUUAAUUCUGAAUCUCACUGGAUUUUUUUCCAUGGUCACUUUGACCUCUGUUCUGUACCUCGUACUAACAGGAUGAGUUGGAGUUUUAGUUACCCAGGCCUACUGGAAAUUUGGCCCAGCAGUCAUUUGGCAGUGGCCUUUCAUGAGCAGCAUUGCCAGCUUUCUAUUUCAAUGCUCAUAUUCAGAGAUUUGAAGAACUAGAGUCCAAAUUCUGCUUUCAUUUGCAAGCCUAGAAUGCUGCUGACUUCAAGGGGGUUGUAGAAUUUUAGCCAAGAGUAGAAAUUGGCCCAGAAUCUUUUCAGAUUCCCUCAUGCUUGUUUUUAUGUGAUGUUGUCAUCAAGAAUUAACAGCAUGCUUCAUGCUACAUUUUACUUUUAAAUUACAUAAAGGAUAUUUACUGUGCCGAUGUCACAUAGUUUGUGAGAAAGAUGCACAUAUGGUAAUGAAAGGACACUAAUUACCAUUAGGAUCUCCAGCUUUCAGCAUUUAUUUUCCAAAACAACUCAGGGAAUAUUUUCUCUAUAAAAAAAUAGAAAUGAAAAUCCAGUUUCUUGGCAUUUAUGCAUGGUGUUCUAGAGUCUUACUCAUCAAGCGUGUUAUGAAAAUGGUCAGAAUAAAAAGGUCUAGUAGCAUACAGAAAGUCCAGUAGUCUGCUUUGAGUUUCUGUACUUACUGUUCUUUCCAUCAGAGAGAGACAUGAGUCCAUCCCUAUAAUAACUUAAUGUUUUUCUGCCUCUCAAGAGGUGGGAAAAAAGGAGGAUAUCUGGGGAAAGCUGAGUGAUCACAAUGGACAACAGGUAAAAACAAAGGUAGAAUGUGAGAAUCAAGGGAUUAAAACUGUUGCAACAGGAUGCCAGGCAGAGCAUCUCUCACUGCCCACUACUACUUGAAGGCAUCCAAGCAGCCGAUAGAGCCAGGCCAGUAGUGCCCUGCCUAGAGUCAUGGUACCAGGUACGGACCCAGUACCAAACUGAUUUCUUUAAAGCUGUGAAGGGGCCCUUGGAGCAAACUAGCUGCUCAGUAUCUUUCUUGAGCAGGACACACUGUAGGACAGGGGUCCUCGGCAGAGCAGAGCUCCAGUCUGUUCUGGUCAGAGCUGCUGGGAAGCUCAGCCUUUUUGAAAGUGAGACAAAUUGUUUUGCCACACAGUUACAAAUCUGGGAGCCUCAGUUCUAGAUAGCCUUGUGUAGAAAUCUGGGCUGUGACCUUUUAAAGCCUUAACAACUCCCUACUUAGGCUUUUAAUAUGCAUGUUAAAUAGUUCAUUGAGUAUGGCCUGGUAUUUAGAACAGUAUGCCAUUCUUGGCUGAUGAGUAACUUCAGGCAAAGAAAUUAUUUUGUACCUCUGUGCUUUUUCUUCUUCUGCAUUUGCUUUGUCUUCCUAGAUAGUAAAGUCUUUCAGGGAGGGAGUGGCUAAUGCUAUGCAUGUCUAGUGAUUAACACAGCCAACUCCAGCCACACUGAGAGCCUCCCUGCUCCCAAAUGCUACCCUUAACAGUAAUCCUACACAUGUGGGCCCGUGUGUAUGCCUGACUUUCACCCUACUGUUGAAACAUGGUUUUAUUAUUGGUUAGUAGAUAAAACUAAAAUCUAGAUUCCUAUAUUAUAAUGUUAGAUUUAGUUUGCAACGUUAGCAAUUUUGUGUUGCUUCCUGCAUGGAGCGGAGCUCUUAGCUAGGAUUCUGUCAAUGGAAAUGUGGUUUCAGAGACAAUGAAAUGGCCGGCCUGUUCUAUGUAAAUAAUUUUGGUGCCACAAUAGCAAACAAUAUACUUGAAAUGCUUCUCAAGGAUCUAACUACAAAUAUAAGAGUACAGAGAGGUGUAUGCACCAUCCUGAGGGCUUGCUUAUAUGUUGUGCAAUGAGUUUAAAAAUAGGGAUGUCAAAUUCUGGAGAAAUGAGUAGAAAUUAUUUAGCAUGUAAUACAAUGUAGUCAUAUUGCUGGUUUCACGUGAUAUUGCCAGGCAGACCCUAGUAUUUGUCUUGCAGUUUUUCUAAGAGCUAUCAGCCACUGCUCAUGAGAUACAGAAUAAGCUGUUCUGAGACACACUGGCAUGGCAACACCGUGAAACCAGCAGUGUUGCCAUUCAGUGCUUGAAUAGAAGAAUUUGAGCUCAAAAGUUGCCAGUGAACAAUGUUUUAGGAAUGCUACUUCUAAAUGAAAGACCACUGGAAAGAAAGUGCCAUUGAGAAUAGCAUAUCCCAUUCAUAAUACAUGAAAAUUGCUGGCAAAAAUGAGUUACAAUUUUGGCUGAAUCUUUCCCCACUCUAGGUUAUUAAAACUGAAAAAAGCUCAUGUAAUAGAUGAAAUGGAUUUUUUCAUAAGUUGACUCAUGAAAAUCUUUCGUAUUUUGUUAUUCCAACCGUGCCAAAAAUGAACAAGUUGAUCUGAAAUCCAGCAGUGACAUUUCUGAGGCAAGAGGACAUAUGUCCUGCAGUGGCAAGUGAUAGGAAAGGAGAUGUUCUUUUUAUAUAUUCCUCCAGGCUAAUGGAAAUAAUUAAGAAUACUUCCACUGGCUUUGAUUUAAACAAAUGCAUUGUAUUUCCUAGAGGGAACAGAUGACUAAAAACAAUAUGAAUUCUUGUCCUUUUAAGAGACUAAUUCAAGUAUAUUGUAGUUGGCAACAGUUGCCUUUUUCAGACUCUUUAUUGGCACAAAGUGGGAUGAUGCUCAGGUCUCUGAUGCAUAAGAAUACUACCGAUAACAGCAGAACCAGCAUUGCUGAUGGUAGUGAAAAAGACACUUGAACAUAGAUCAGAACAUGAAAGACUAUUUCCUCCAUCUGAAAUAAGGCAUGAACUGCCUGUCUUCCUAGAUCAUGCUGAGCGCUCUGCCAAAUCCAAGGGGUUAGGAACAGAAGAAGCUAUCAUGCAUUGGAGCUGCCAUUGGGGUACAGGAUCUUCUCAUGGCUUUGGCAUCCUAUGGCUGUAGAGGUACCUGCCAGGAUCUUUUCUAGGUCUACAAAAGAAACCUUAUCCUCUGAGGACCCACAUUUGCUAAGUUUGCCUCUCAUGAACACGUUCUGUGACUUUCAGCACAGGAUGGCACAAAGUGGGUCAGGGAUUCCCAGGCUACAACAAGAAUAUGGGCUUCCCAUUCAGGGUGUGAUCCAACUCUUAGCACUGCCGAAGGAAAGGCUCUGACUGAUGUUGGUGGAGUUGGUUUGGCCAGGCAGACUGUAUUUUAUUAGGGCUUUCAAGGAGCAAAAUGUCAUAAUUUUUGCUCCUGGGAAUUCCUAGUCUCAGGAACUGUCAGACUGAUGACUGUCACAAAUACCAGAUCCUCUUGAAACUUGUAAGGAAAAGGUUCUGUAUCAGCAGUUGAAUUGUCUGCUCAUCUGUCUACCUACUUUUUUAGGAAUGCCAAGAGCACUGGACUACUAAGGGUUUGACACUCUUGCUUGUUCUGUUACUUUCCCUCUAACCUUGCUAUUUCAGAUAGGCUAUUUGUCAACGCCAGAGAAAUCUGCUGCAGCAACAGAAGGAAUAUCUGGUGUCAGUAUCUCCAGCUUCUUGACUGAACUACCUCAUUAGAGAAACUAAAAUGUCCCUUUGAUUGCUUAGAAGUAAAUCAUUUGUUUUGCAAAAAUCUCCAAGCAGUUAUUCACUUCUUGUAAAAUUAUAAUGCCUGAAGUCUUCCUCUAAUGCAGCCCUGAAUAGCUAGAAUGACUUGAAAUUUGCAACCAAUAAAAAGUUUUACAGCAAAGCAGAUCUGAUCAGUGUUUCCCUAAGUGAGACAAUUAAUUUUCACUGUCAAAAUGUAGGCAGAUUUUGUUUGGUUUAAAAACAAUAAAAUGUUUUACUGGAGAAAAUAAUAAAACAGGGCAUUUCUGUAGCUUCACAGAUAUGUAUAAUGUGUUUGAGAUUUUGAAUGUUAUCAUUAGGAAAUUUGGAGUUGACACUUUUAAGAUACCUAGAACACAUACUUUGUCUCAUAAUAGCCAAGUAUUUUGUCACGAUCAGCUUGAAGUUUUCUCAUAAAGGUUGGCAGUGCAUAUCAAGCUGAAAUGGGAUAACUGCUGUCCCAGUAGUCUGCAGUGGGAAAGAAACCUAGGGACUUUGAAAACUGAUAGCUACUUCUGCUUUUGGGUAGUACCUUUCAUUGGAGAAUCUUAAAGUAAUCACAGAAAUCCCUAAGUCUUGCCAGCCAGAAAGAUGACACAUUUUCUCAAGCAUAGUUUUCUGUUUGUUGUACAGCAUCAGAAGGGACAGAGUCUGUCCAUCUCUGACCUCCACGCUGGCAGUUUCCCAAGGAAUUGCUAGUGAACAUAGCUUACAGACCACACUCCCUGUAAUCUCUACAUAUGGUAGAAGGAAAGGAUAGAGAUAAAGAGAAGUGCUGAAAGCCUAUCCUGUUCCAGUUUUUUAACAGAGGGAAAUCCUCUGGGGACCAUCACACACAAGUAGCUCUCAGGCAGCUCUAACUUAAUGUGAAGACCACAAUGACAGAGAAUUAGGGAACAGUAGAGGCCUAUUCAUCCCGUCCUUGCUACAUUUUAUAAAACUAGAUGUGAUCCAGCACACAUAGUUUAAUUUCAUCUGAAGAAAGCCUGAUUUCCCAUACUAUCUUUUAAUAUCUUGUACACUGUACAGUACAUAAAAACAAUACAUACAGCAACUUACCAGUGACAGACAUGGUAAAUGCCCCGAUGGUCUUCAUGAGCAAAAGUACACGCAGAGAGAGGCUGAGGAUUUGAGUCAUUGAAAGAUCUGUUGUUGAAGAGAGGUUUUGCCUUAACAUCGCACUCACAGGAACAUCUGCAAUCCUCCAGUGAACAGCAUAGCUAACGUUUCCUAAUGUGUAUCAGUCAAAUCAGACCCUCAGACUUCUACGGUUCCUCCUUUCUUCCUCAUGAUCCUUUCCCCUCUUCAUCUUUCUCCCUCUCUGCUCUUCACAUUUCUCUCUUCUCUUCUGCUGCCUUAUGAAGUACUUAUCAUUGAAUAGAGGGAUUAUGACACAAUUGAUAAGUGGGAAGAUUAUGACAUCAGAGGGAUAAAUCAUGCCUCCCCCCCAGCUUUCUUCCCUCUACUUCUUUUCAUCCAUUUCUACUUCUCCUCUCUUAAAAGAGGAAAACUGUGAUACUAGAAAGCAGCAUUUUCUUCCAAUCCCUCUUCUAGUAUUAAUUCUGCCUCAUUUGCACUUUCACAUGCAUCCAGCAGACAUGUCCGUUGAAAAUACAUUUCAUAGAAACAGGCAUAUGCACAUGGACAAAAUGUGUCUGUGUAUGAAUUUUGGUGAGUGUGAACUGUGUACGCAGUUACUUGAUUUGCUCACCCCACAUCAGUUUUGAAAGCAGAUAUUUGUGUGAUAUAGUGCCUCUUGUACUAAUCAUUCAUGUGGAUAAGGGUGUUUUUUUCCUGUCCAUUCAUAUGUAUUUAUUAAGUUUCUCUUAAAAAAUGUGGACAUGUGAUUUGAUUCUUUUGUUUAAAUAUGCUAGAAUUUGAGAUAAUAUAUUUAUGGCCCCUUCAAUUAGUCCUUCAAUCUUCAAAAUUCUCUGUGGCCAAGUUAGGAGAGAGAAUGGUGGUAACCUAGUUUAUAAUUCAGUUGGCCCAGUUCACAGUUUAAAAUACUGAUGGAGGUGUACUGGUGCUAAGAUGCUAGACUAUGAACUAUUGUAUAGACACACAACCUGUUGUGCUACCCUUGUGCUGGUGUCAAUAAUAUCCAGCAGAAAAUACCAGGAGAAGCUCUAAUCUUAGCAUUGAAGAAGUGAUAACUACUUGCUAAAUGUGCUGCAGAUGAUCUGUCAAGAGUCCUUUUUCUUGGAAACAGGAACUGGGAGAAAUACAAAACAUAAAACAGAAAGCUCUCUACUAACAAAAUAUCCUAGUGUAGUCCAAAAUCAAUAUUAAGUCAUGGUAGAACUGAGAAAAUCAUAAACAUUGAAGAGCCAUGUAUUAGUCCAUAUCUAUCAAAAAAGUUAACUCUUCUCCAUAUGCACACGCAUUCAUGUUCCCACAAGACACAAGAAGUAUAAGCUUAAUACAAUUUGUAUCAGACUGUUUCCAUUGCAAUAGAGCAAAGAACAUCUUAUACUUAACUGGAAUCUAAACAUUCUGGAUAUUUUUUUCCUCCAGUGCUGCAACAGAUUUUCUGUGUGACCUUGGGCAAGACACAUAAUUUCUCUCUGCCGUAAAGUUAGAUAAUACUUCCAUACCUUAUAGCUUGUGCUGCAAGUUGCUGAGUUUCAAAGACAAGUCUGCUCGUUAAAUAGGAUUAUGUCUAGUCCUGAAGUGGGGAGAAGGCCUGCAAAAGGCAGGUAGAAAUGGGAUGGCCUAAAGUGUCAUUGAAGCCAGUGGGAGCUGAGGGCAUAGUAGAUACUCAGGAGUUCUCAGGAGCAUUUACCUAAUCAAGGUACUGGGAGGACGUUUAGUAGGCAGCUAUAGGGGAGAGCAUUUAUACACUUCAUAUCAGUGGGCAAAUAGCAAAGACUGUUAGAUUUCUGAUUGAUACAACUUGCAGAAAACAUUUCAAUGGAGUCAGGACCAGUUCUACUCCUGAGGAACGAGUUCCUGCUGAUGUCCGGGGAAGUGUUUGAAAAAAAAUUCUACGGGGUCGUGUCCUGUGAAUGACGGGGUCACAAAGAGCAGGACUUCACAGUCAAGCAGUUUUGCUUGUUUAGCAGAGCAGAGCAGUUAUCGGAUGUGUAGGUCCUGCAGCAGGAUUGGGGUCCUUGGUGGAGAAGAGUACACAGUAACAAAGAUGGAAGAAAACAGGGGUGAGCAUUAGCAGAUGGCUGGGCAUAGGUUAUCCCUUACACCACUGUGUGUAUUAAAUUGAAUAAAGACCAGUGGGGGACAUUGGUGAGUGCUAGCAUUUGGGAAGACACCAGUAAUUCAAAUUCAUUUGGUGGGUAAAUUGACACCUUUUAUAAAUGGGUUUUAUACCUUUUAAAAUGGUUUCCACCAGCUGGCAGGGUAACAACUGUGGACAGAUCAGAAUAAACAGCGCCGACCAUUUCUGUGUCUUCCACCUGCAGUUCUUGAGUUCCUUUUGUUGGCUGUUAGCUUCACUGCAAAAAAACAUAUGCAAGAGAAUCAACACUUCAGCUUGACAGCACUUUUGUCAUGUCCAGGUAAUUAAAAUAAUGCCACUGCACCUGGUAGAACUAUAAAAAUGUCCUUAUAAAUGUCUCAGCAGCAUUUAAUAUUUUAUUCAUUGCAAUGUUGUUGUGUUUUGCCUGCAAUAAAACAGCCUCAUGUAAGUGAGACACUACAGUGUCACUGUAAACAUUUCAAACAUUUUCCCUUCAAUACAUUACUUUAGCUCAGUGAGUUUCAUUUUUCCUUCUGGUUUUGAAUCCUCGUCUUGUAAUUUUUUUUCCUGCUUUCAAGACAUUAAAAACAAAACAAACAACCCCAAAAUCCCAACCCUUUCUUUUGUUAGAAGAAGGCAACUGGAACAGGCCGUGGUUAAGCUUUUACCCCCUUUCCACAUGCAGAAAAGACUGUGUGUGAAAACUUUAUUUCCCAGGGAAAUAUAUUCCAUUUUUUAAUCUUGCUAUGCCUGAAUAAUUGCCUUGCAUAUAACAUUAUCUCUCCAGUUAGUGACUCAGGAACUAGAAGGAAAAAUAAAACAAAGUUUAAUAUAUACAAAAUAAUGUUGAUAGUUUUAUUACAGAAGGAGUUGUAAGCCAAACUACACAAGCAUAGACAUAGCUAUUAAAGGAAAAAUUACAAUGUUGCCAGCAUGAACUGUUCAGAAAUAAAUAGUCAGGCCUUCCAAAGCCAUGAGAUCGGCUUACAGACUUCUGGUUUUCAAAAUACAGGUUCAGUAUGUUCUUAUUUGUCUUCACUUUUUGAUACGCUGAGGAAUCACAGAAAACCAGCUUUACUUUACAAAUAUGGAGACUGGAAACUUUUUGUUUGUAUAAUUGAGAUUCUUGAAUAACUAAUGUGACUCCAGAAUCAAGAGAUUUCAGAAAAUCACCACAUAGCCUGCAGUAAAAUUGAGAUUUGGCAUCAUUAGCCUCUUCCAGUCUAGCAAGCUAUCAGAUGUUACCAUAUAUGUAUUUUCUUGCAAGUAUGCCAUGCUUUUCCACCCAGUAACCUUGCCUAAACAGAAAAAAAAGGACUCUAAGAUUUACAGACAUUAUGUAGCACAAAGGGAGGUAAGACCAGGUCAGGACAUCAAGAAAAUCUUGUUAUGUUCUCUGUGUCUGCUCGAAUCAUCCAUAAGUA